AGUACUUUUCAAUUGAAACUGGUUUAGACAAGUAUACCUCAUUCAGUCACUCUCAUUCUAAUUAGAUUUAAUUCAAACAUGGCAAAAGUAUAGCAUCCUAAAAGCCAUCAUCCUGAAAAGUUAUGUUCAUUUUCAUAGUUAUGAGUAUUUUAAUGAAGAAAAGAUUAAGACCAAAGAAACCCUUUCGUAAAUGUCAGGGAACUAUGGAAGAAGAUCAAAUUUAUUCCAGGAGAAAUUUCCAGUUGUAUUGAGAUUAGGAAUUUGGCCUGCUGACUCAGCAGAUAAAUAUCUCAGCCUACAUCACAUGAGGUCUGAGAGUAGUGCAUUUAACCACCUUCUACUAUUUAAAGCAUUUUAGACUUGCCAAGUAUGUUUUAUAUUUCCAAUUUGCUCAGAGGUCCUGAGAAACUCAAGGAAUCUGCCAUAGCAUGUGAGACAGACAGAAGUGGAGUGGAAAAGUCUAAAAGUUAAAAAUACCAAGAGCUGAGAAUGGAGAAUGAAGGGGUUGGGGAGCAGAAGGUGGUUUCUGUGACAGACGGCUGGUGGGAGUAACCCAGGUCACCUGCCUGAGUCAGGCUGCAGCUUCUUGAAUCCUCUUCCCAGGAGCGGGCAGCUGUUCCACAGAGCUGAGGUGCCAGAUGCUAUUUCCUCCCUGCAAGAGACAAAAGGACACUGAGGGGGAAUUUUAAAGACAUCAAAGGCCUGAGUGGACAGCCAUGUCCCUGUAGCUGGCAAUUCUACUAAUACACUUACAAACAUUGGCUCCUCUGAAAAGGUCACCCCAUUAUGCAGACAAAAUUUGUGACUCUCAGCAGCUGGGAAUACCUUGGAACCAAAGAGAACAGCAAGGAGAGAGAGAAUAAAACAGAAUCAUUGCUAAGCCAAAUAUGGGGGAAAGAUUAACCUCUACAUUUUUUUUAAUAACAAAAACACAACAUUUCUCUUUAAUUCAUAACCUUAAGAAAUUCUACUUAUUAUUUAUAAUAAUUCUAAGGUGUUCUGAAGAUACUUUUAUAUUAGAAAAGACUAUCAUAUUAGUUUAUAUUACUUUAGGAAGGAAAUGCCUUAUUCUACUGCUAGAAGUUAUAGAAAAAUACACAGGGGAUUUUUUUUUUUUUUUUUUACUCUUACUAAUGAAGAAAGAAUCUAAUAAGGAUUGCUGAAUUUUGGAGAUCGGAGAGUUGUGUUUAUACCCACAAUAAAAUGUUAGGCUACUACAUCAGAAAAGCCUUGGUUCAUUUAUUUUGACACAAGUAUUUUAAAUAAUUUUGUUUCCUUGGUAAAUGGUCUGUAGACUCAUCAAAGUUUUGUUAACUAAAAUAUUAUUAAUGUGAAUUCACUCUAUGCAUCUCAUAAUUUUGUUGAGAAAUGAGAUGUGAACAGUGCAUUUUAUGGUAGCAAGAAUUGCUAACAUUAUAUCUGGUCCAUAGUACGUGCUCAAAAAAGGAAUAAAAGAAAAUGUUGAAAGUACAGGGGAAUUUAUUCACAAGUGUUUCAUAGGACAGGAAUAGAAGUGAGAGGGGCUAAACUUAUGGAGGAGAUAUUCAUAAUAGCAAUACAGAUUAAUUAAGUAAGCCCUCUGUAUUCAUUAUUUUACUUAACCUUUACAACAGACUUCAUGAAGUUUGAAUUAUCCCCACUUUAUGAAGAAGAAAAUUAAAGGUCAGAGAGAUGAAGUAAUCACCCAAAGUCACACAGUGCAUGAGUGGCACAGCCCAGUCUGUCUUCACAUUCACCUCAUUUUACUUACUUUUAUCUAGAGGUAGAGGUUUUUGACAUGGACAGACAGUUCUAGUACCACAUAUGAAAAAAGCGGUUUAGAAAAACUGGCUUCCCGUAUAUUAUUACAGAUGGAGAGGGGGGUGGACAAGAAAUACUGAGAAGGUUUAUAUUAUUAUUAAAACUGUCCGUGGACCCAACCAACCCCAAAGUUUCCUUUGGAAUAUGAUAUGUAGUAGACAUGACUUUCUCAUAGCUCUCACUCUCUCAAAUACUCUGGAUUUUGAGAUUUGUAGGGAGAACAAGGUAGUAUAGAGGUUUGGGCCUAAUUUUUUUUUAAUUUUGUUUUGUUUUUCAUAUUUAUUAGUGAGAUAUGAAGAAUAUUUGAUCCUAGGAAAUUCAGAAGAAAAAUAAAUUCAGUCCAGAUCACAUCUGAAACCCCGAAUUCUGGAAGAAUUUCACUUGUGAAGAGGAGAACCCUUAAAAGAUAAGAAAGUUUGAAAAGGGUCCUAGGACUGAAAGCUUUAUGAAUUUUAAAGUAUGUGUGUAUAUAUGUGUGUUUGGGGAGGUGUUCAGGGUUAAAUUUUAGUUAUAUUAUAUUUGGAUAUGCAAAGAAAUAUAGCUUUCUUACUUCUUAUAACUGGGGUGAGAAGUAGGUAAAGAACAAGAAAUACAUUAAAAAAAUUUUUUUAACUUUUAAAAAUUGUGGUAAAAUAUACUAACAAUUAACCAUUUUAAGUGUACAUUUCAGCGGCAGAACAAUAGACACUUUAACUUGUCCAUUAAAAUAACUUCUGGAUUAAACAGUUGUGUUUAGGUAAAUAUUCUGUCAAUUCAAAGGUCAGCUCCCUACUGGGGAUGUUCCUCCAUCUUUGUUUUUCUACUCAAGAUAGUGUCUGUAGGGGAAAACACUCUUGGCAAUGAAACCAUUUGGCAUUUAUUAAUUAUAUUCUAUUGGUCUUUGCUAUCUUGUGGAUAGUUUAAAGUAGUCUCUAGACUGACUGGUGGGCACUGAAGUGUAACUGGAAAGUCCACUGUGCUUCUCUAGCUAUUCCCACCAGCAUCUUCCCUCAAAGCCCCAACACAAGUCAUACAUCCAACUUCCAACCAUCUUCCCCUGGAAAGGGAGAGACUUCUUUUUCUUCCUCCCUGAAAGGGACUUCCUCUAUGUCAUAUCCUUCUUCUUCCUCAUAGCACUAAGCACAGUGGCUCAGCCUUCAUCGUGGAUGAGUUGUCCUCUCCACAACUUGAAAGAACCUCUGAUUUG
Long non-coding RNA from Pteropus alecto (black flying fox), 2986 nucleotides. RefSeq lists it as uncharacterized. The transcript has 5 exons. The record is from RefSeq and is a predicted model, not a curated record. Lineage: Eukaryota; Metazoa; Chordata; Mammalia; Chiroptera; Pteropodidae.